GCGCCUGUAGCUCAGUUGGAUAGAGCACUUGCCUCCGGAGCAAGGGGCCGUGGGUUCAAAUCCCGCCGGGCGCGCCA
RNAcentral lists this transfer RNA (77 nucleotides) under Candidatus Hydrogenedentota bacterium. Its description in RNAcentral is "Candidatus Hydrogenedentes bacterium (hot springs metagenome) tRNA-Arg". It matches the Rfam family "tRNA". From Rfam's summary of the family: Transfer RNA (tRNA) molecules are approximately 80 nucleotides in length. Their secondary structure includes four short double-helical elements and three loops (D, anti-codon, and T loops). RNAcentral also lists the same sequence under 2 other names. The record is from RNAcentral. Lineage: Bacteria; Pseudomonadati; Candidatus Hydrogenedentota.